This is a long non-coding RNA of Corythoichthys intestinalis (scribbled pipefish), 2909 nucleotides long. RefSeq lists it as uncharacterized. Lineage: Eukaryota; Metazoa; Chordata; Actinopteri; Syngnathiformes; Syngnathidae. The transcript has 2 exons. The record is from RefSeq and is a predicted model, not a curated record.
UCAUAAGUACUCGUACAUACAUUGUGGGAUUCGUAAACACAUAGCACGCGAAACACACACACAUUGUGGGAUUCGUACACACAUAGCAUGCGAACCACACGCAAUUGUGGGAUUCGUACACACAUAGCACGCGAACCACACACAUUGUGGGAUUCGUAAACACAUAGCACGCGAAACACACACACAUCGUGGGAUUCGUAAACACAUAGCACGCGAAACACAAACACAUUCACCAAAUGUGUGUGUGAAUUGUUUUACGCGCAUUUGCAACGUGCUUCCAAUUACAAAUUCCCACUUACGAAUACAAAUUCCCACUUACUAAUGUGUGGAUCGUUUUGAUACCCGUCAUGCGCAACUGAGAAGAACACAUGCAUUUUUUUAACUGGAGCCCGUCUUCAGCCAAUCAGACGUCUUCUUCUUAAACAGCCAAUCACAAGGGCUGGGCUGUUUCGUUACGUCACUGCUGUGCGCCUUCAAGUCCGGUGUACUGAGUGACAAGUGACAAAUGGGGAGCUUUUGUAAAAGUAGGAGCCCCGUUUUUGACAGCUCAACUCGACCGCGGGGACUAUCGAUGCAAGCUGAAGACGUCCCAUCCAUUUUGAGUGGGAGGACCUCCCAUGCACUUCAAAUGUAUUGGAUGUCAACUGGUGAAAAACUCAUUGAACCGCUCAGCAGAGGGAUGAUGAGAGCAAGAUUAGAUGUCUAAUACUGUACUAUAUGUGGCACAUUUUUAACAGGCUUUUUUUCCGCCAAAUAAGUCUUUUUAAGAUUACUUUCUCCAUUUCAAGCCUAUUUGAAAGUCAUACUUGGGAAAAUUCAGACUUCUUAAUGUAUGAUUGUGAUGUCUAUGCUUAAACCAAUUUAAGACCAUUUUAAAAGGAAAAAAAUAGACAUUAUAAGCCUGUUAAAAAUGCUACCUACAGUGACAGUAUUUAAAGGAUGGUAGUCUAUUACGGAUAUAAAAAAAUAUAUUUUUUGAAAGACUUGGAGCAACAGAGCUUUCUUGCCAAAUGAAUCACAUUUGAUACACUUAGGAUUUAGAACUCUUUCCUCAAAAAAAAAAAAAAAAAAAAAAAUGGAUGCAAGUCAACUCAUGCAUCUGCAUGUUCCAUGAGAAAAACAGGAUUUAACAAGGAAAAUAGAUAUUAGAGCGCUUAUUACACAUUUUUCUUUACAAAUUUGGAAAAAAAAAGGUUUAAGACCUUAUUUUUCACAUUUUGUGAUUCUCUGACAAUUGCUUCAUAUUGCAGGCAUUAAGGGGUUAAGACCUGCCACAUGAAUUUUACUACCUUUUUAAACACUUUUUUUUAUUGCGACAAACCUAAUAAGUGAUCAAUGAUGGCAAGAGAGGAUAAAGCGCAGCAGCAAAUCCUCAGAUCUGUUCUUUGGAUGCCUUUGAAAGUAAAUAGUGACAUUGAGAGCAAUCAGGAGUUCAAUUAUGUGAGGUGAGGAGACCAAGUAAGUUUUGAGACAUUUUUUAAUUUAAAUAGACAUCUCAGACUCCCAGCCUGUAGGAGGGCACAGGCUAGAUCUCCUCGAGCCUUCAGAACUUCGGGAAGGUGGGUCUGGUUGUGCCUGAGAUCUCCAUUGGCCAUAUACUCUUCCGCAAACUGAAAUGGCAUUUUAGGCAUUCUGUUACAUAUCAGUGCUAAACAACAACAGCAGCAAAGUUUUACUGCAGAGACUCCGAAAUCUUAAAAUCAUUACCUUUAAUGUGAAAACCCCACAGCUACUGUUGUUCUGCUGCUUGUUAUGGGCCACAGUUUUGGUAGUCCAAGUUUCUAUUUGGAACUCACGGCCCGCCAACCUCAAGAAGUUCCUAAUUAUUGUUUUAUAAGCAAAACAAUGAAGAUGAACAUUGAACUAUUAACUUCCAUAUUAACAUAAUACUAGGAAUUUAAACUUUCUGAAGCGGUUACCUCCAAUUCCGCAAGAUUUUGCUCAUAUUUGUCCUCGUUACUCAAGGGAUCGUUGAUCACCAGUGUUCUCUUAGAAAUGUGGACAAUCUAUAAAAGGUUAGUUCCUUUGUGUAAUUCUGCACAAUGACAGAUUUAUGUAGUUAACUUACUAAUGAAAUUUAACUUCUGUAUGGCAUCAGCUAAAUUAAUAGCUAUAUAUAAUACAUUCCAGAAUCGGUAGGUCUUAAGAAAAUAUAAGAAACCCACUAACCACUAAAAUCCAAUGAGCGCAUACAGGACAGGACAGGACAAAUACACUUUUUUUUUCAACAGGGAAUUUCCUCUGAAGAACAUACAAUACCAAAUUAUUGUUAUUUUGGGUUACUGGCGUUAAAAUAAUAUAGCUAAAUAUUGGCAUGAAAUGGAUUACCUUUCUAACAGGCUGAAAUUUUCCCAAAAGCAGACUCCCAGCUACCACAGCAGAGAGUUGGUGAAUGGGCUCCUGUUAAAAAAAGGGGUAACAACAUUACAACUAUACUCCGGCAAAAAAUAAAUGCAUUGAGAAAAACUAUAUCCAGCACUUGGCUGCUGCCUUUCAAUGAGGAUAUGCAUGUAUGCAUCAAAUACUUGCAUAGCAAAAUAAAAAAAUUGGCAAAAGGCAAGAAUCUUUGUUAUUUGCUAAACACUUAUUGUUCCCACUGACUUCAUCAGACAGCCAGCCGUUGCCUUUUAGCGUAUGAAAAGAUGUGUCAUAUAAUUUAUACGGUCCAACGACAGCCUCCACCUUGCCUUGAUCCUCUGCAGCCCACAGUAAUUUAACUGAAAACACAACAUUGUUAAAUCAAAAAAGUUAUUAUUUACGGCACUUGACCAGAUGACCAUCCGGUCAAAAUUAUCUACUGAAUAGGCCAAACCACCAAACAAAUCCUGUCGGUCGUUCACCAAUUUUGUAAGAGCUGUACGAAGUAGAAGGGUACAAUUAGAUAUACAUUUUAGAACACCAACAACAAC